Long non-coding RNA from Gossypium arboreum, 1299 nucleotides. RefSeq lists it as uncharacterized. NCBI's taxonomy places the organism in Eukaryota, Viridiplantae, Streptophyta, Magnoliopsida, Malvales, Malvaceae. The transcript is spliced from 4 exons. The record is from RefSeq and is a predicted model, not a curated record.
AAUAUAUAUAUUAGUAAUAAAUGAUAUUAAAUUAAUUUAUUAUAAUUAUAUUAUAAGAUAUUUAUAUGAUAAACAAAUUAAUAUAAAGACAAAUGUAUAGUAAAUAAAAUAUACAAGUGUAUGGAUAAAAAUACAUACAUUUGUAAUACAUGUAUUAGAUAUUAAAUAGAUAUUUAUUAAUUAAAUAAUUAUAUUAUAAGAUUUUAUAUGAUAAAUAAUUAAAUAAUGACAAAUAUAUGGUUAUAAAUGGAUACAAAUGUACUAAUAAUAUACACAUGAAUAAAUAAAUAAUACUUAUUAUUCAAGUAUAAAUACAUGUGUGUAUAUAUAAAAAGGAAAAAAGAAAAAAAAGGAGAGAAAUAAAGAAACAAAGCAAACGAAACAGAAAGCAGGGGAAGGAAAGAAAGAAGAAAAGGGAAAAUCAAAGGUCUGAAGUUUGGAAGUUUAAUAGAUGGUGCAGCAGAGAUGGCAUGUCGAAAUGAAUCACUGACUUAGAAGCCACGAUUUUCCCUUCCGUAUCACAAACAAUCAAACCCGAAGCAGAUCUUGAGGUUCUCCGGUCGAAAGUCGCAUCAAAAUAAACUGUCACCAUCGUACUUCUUUCCAUCUAUUUAUGGCCUCUGUCAAUAAUGGUAAUUGACCAUAGCCCACAACAAAAAAGGUGACACUAGUCUUUAUUACCCUACCUGAAAACCCAGAUAAGUCAUUCCCACAAGCUUUGAAUGUUAUUAUUGCUUAUCCAUGCAAGAUCUAAAUUUAACCAUACUUUUAUUGAUGUAGGACAGUACCUGAAGACGUGGGUGCUAUCUUCAUCGGAGAUGUGACAUCGGGGAUAACGAGCUUCUACUACAACUUUUUUAUUCUUUAGAUUAGCUAGAGUUGGAAUAUAAUUCCAAUAAAUUCUCCAACAUGUAAUUUUAAUUUUUGGAGGGAUCUGUAAAUUCCAUAAUUUUCUAUAGAAGUUUCUAAUCUCAAUCUGUAUAAAAUUAUUACUAAGACCUGAAUUAGUCUCUUGUAAUAAUUUAUAGGCACUUGUGACUGAAUACUCUCCUAACGGUUCUCCUCUCCAUACCUGGAAGUCCUCGUAGGUUGUCUCUGCCAAAGGGAUCUGCAGAAUUUUCCUAGCAGUAUCCUCAUUAAAGCUCCCGAAAUCCAUAAAUCAUCCCAAACAGAGACACAAUCCCCUGUUUCUAUCCUCCAACAUAAUCCUUUCUCCAAAAUACCUUUGCCCAGACACUUUUCCAGGUAAGCGAAGGUAAAUUCCCCAAUUGAGCAUUGAUAAAAUUUGAAUUUGGAUAA